RNAcentral lists this ribosomal RNA (465 nucleotides) under Vreelandella stevensii. RNAcentral describes it as "partial 16S ribosomal RNA". It matches the Rfam family "Bacterial small subunit ribosomal RNA", at positions 338 to 795 of the family's 1533-position model. The record is from RNAcentral. Lineage: Bacteria; Pseudomonadati; Pseudomonadota; Gammaproteobacteria; Oceanospirillales; Halomonadaceae.
CCUAGGGGGCGCAGCAGUGGGGAAUAUUGGACAAUGGGCGAAAGCCUGAUCCAGCCAUGCCGCGUGUGUGAAGAAGGCCUUCGGGUUGUAAAGCACUUUCAGUGGGGAAGAAAGCCUUGGGGCUAAUACCCUCGAGGAAGGACAUCACCCACAGAAGAAGCACCGGCUAACUCCGUGCCAGCAGCCGCGGUAAUACGGAGGGUGCGAGCGUUAAUCGGAAUUACUGGGCGUAAAGCGCGCGUAGGCGGUCUGAUAAGCCGGUUGUGAAAGCCCCGGGCUCAACCUGGGAACGGCAUCCGGAACUGUCAGGCUAGAGUGCAGGAGAGGAAGGUAGAAUUCCCGGUGUAGCGGUGAAAUGCGUAGAGAUCGGGAGGAAUACCAGUGGCGAAGGCGGCCUUCUGGACUGACACUGACGCUGAGGUGCGAAAGCGUGGGUAGCAAACAGGAUUAGAUACCCGUGUAGUC